This 305-nucleotide ribosomal RNA is filed under the name uncultured bacterium. Its description in RNAcentral is "partial 16S ribosomal RNA". It matches the Rfam family "Bacterial small subunit ribosomal RNA", at positions 505 to 809 of the family's 1533-position model. The record is from RNAcentral.
ACAGCAGUAGCCACGGUAAUACGGAGGGUGCAAGCGUUAUCCGGAUUUAUUGGGUUUAAAGGGUCCGUAGGCGGAUCUGUAAGUCAGUGGUGAAAUCUCACAGCUUAACUGUGAAACUGCCAUUGAUACUGCAGGUCUUGAGUAAAUUUGAAGUGGCUGGAAUAAGUAGUGUAGCGGUGAAAUGCAUAGAUAUUACUUAGAACACCAAUUGCGAAGGCAGGUCACUAAGAUUUAACUGACGCUGAUGGACGAAAGCGUGGGGAGCGAACAGGAUUAGAUACCCCGGUAGUCCUGUCUCUUAUACA